GAUGAACGCUGGCGGCGUGCCUAAUACAUGCAAGUCGAGCGAACGGACGAGAAGCUUGCUUCUCUGAUGUUAGCGGCGGACGGGCGAGUAACACGUGGAUAACCUACCUAUAAGACUGGGAUAACUUCGGGAAACCGUAGCUAAUACCGGAUAAUAUUUUGAACCGCAUGGUUCAAAAGUGAAAGACGGUCUUGCUGUCACUUAUAGAUGGAUCCGCGCUGCAUUAGCUAGUUGGUAAGGUAACGGCUUACCAAGGCAACGAUGCAUAGCCGACCUGAGAGGGUGAUCGGCCACACUGGAACUGAGACACGGUCCAGACUCCUACGGGAGGCAGCAGUAGGGAAUCUUCCGCAAUGGGCGAAAGCCUGACGGAGCAACGCCGCGUCAGUGAUGAAGGUCUUCGGAUCGUAAAACUCUGUUAUUAGGGAAGAACAUAUGUGUAAGUAACUGUGCACAUCUUGACGGUACCUAAUCAGAAAGCCACAGCUAACUACGUG
Molecule: ribosomal RNA, 497 nt
Filed under: uncultured bacterium
Lineage: Bacteria
Description: partial 16S ribosomal RNA
Rfam family: Bacterial small subunit ribosomal RNA
Source: RNAcentral